Molecule: ribosomal RNA, 415 nt
Filed under: Staphylococcus aureus
Lineage: Bacteria; Bacillati; Bacillota; Bacilli; Caryophanales; Staphylococcaceae
Description: bacterial SSU rRNA
Rfam family: Bacterial small subunit ribosomal RNA
Source: RNAcentral
UUUUAUGGAGAGUUUGAUCCUGGCUCAGGAUGAACGCUGGCGGCGUGCCUAAUACAUGCAAGUCGAGCGAACGGACGAGAAGCUUGCUUCUCUGAUGUUAGCGGCGGACGGGUGAGUAACACGUGGAUAACCUACCUAUAAGACUGGGAUAACUUCGGGAAACCGGAGCUAAUACCGGAUAAUAUUUUGAACCGCAUGGUUCAAAAGUGAAAGACGGUCUUGCUGUCACUUAUAGAUGGAUCCGCGCUGCAUUAGCUAGUUGGUAAGGUAACGGCUUACCAAGGCAACGAUGCAUAGCCGACCUGAGAGGGUGAUCGGCCACACUGGAACUGAGACACGGUCCAGACUCCUACGGGAGGCAGCAGUAGGGAAUCUUCCGCAAUGGGCGAAAGCCUGACGGAGCAACGCCGCGUGA